This 587-nucleotide ribosomal RNA is filed under the name Vibrio sp. RNAcentral's name for it is "bacterial SSU rRNA". It matches the Rfam family "Bacterial small subunit ribosomal RNA", at positions 337 to 916 of the family's 1533-position model. RNAcentral also lists the same sequence under 1 other name. Lineage: Bacteria; Pseudomonadati; Pseudomonadota; Gammaproteobacteria; Vibrionales; Vibrionaceae. The record is from RNAcentral.
UCCUACGGGAGGCAGCAGUGGGGAAUAUUGCACAAUGGGCGCAAGCCUGAUGCAGCCAUGCCGCGUGUGUGAAGAAGGCCUUCGGGUUGUAAAGCACUUUCAGUCGUGAGGAAGGUAGUGUAGUUAAUAGCUGCAUUAUUUGACGUUAGCGACAGAAGAAGCACCGGCUAACUCCGUGCCAGCAGCCGCGGUAAUACGGAGGGUGCGAGCGUUAAUCGGAAUUACUGGGCGUAAAGCGCAUGCAGGUGGUUUGUUAAGUCAGAUGUGAAAGCCCGGGGCUCAACCUCGGAAUAGCAUUUGAAACUGGCAGACUAGAGUACUGUAGAGGGGGGUAGAAUUUCAGGUGUAGCGGUGAAAUGCGUAGAGAUCUGAAGGAAUACCGGUGGCGAAGGCGGCCCCCUGGACAGAUACUGACACUCAGAUGCGAAAGCGUGGGGAGCAAACAGGAUUAGAUACCCUGGUAGUCCACGCCGUAAACGAUGUCUACUUGGAGGUUGUGGCCUUGAGCCGUGGCUUUCGGAGCUAACGCGUUAAGUAGACCGCCUGGGGAGUACGGUCGCAAGAUUAAAACUCAAAUGAAUUGACGG